AAAAAAUCAUUACAGCCAGCCACCAUUUUUAGACGAUCUUCUUUUUCUUCCACAUUUCUUCUUUGUUGUGCUCUCUAAAUCAGGCCGUCAUGGUUCUUUGGUUUUUCCAUCCCCUGAUAAAGUAUUUCCUUGAUAAGUGAAUUUUCUCACUGCUUUGAUCGCUUCUCUAUUGAAUCGACCCAACUUUUUGAAAUACAUUCCCAUUUUAUUCAUCCCUAUUACUUUGAAACUUCCAAAAACCCUAAAUCUUUCUCAAAGGAGAUAGUCACCCCCCUUUUUUCAACAAAUUUUGCUGGAGAAAUAUAAUUAAUCAAAGCCUUCCCUGUCAAUUUCAACAGCCCUUGCUACCGCACUGGAUAGGCCAGAUCUAAGAUAAGUAUUUUCAUUUCCUUUUAAUCUUUCUUUUACUAAGAUAUAAGCAACUCUAUUCAUUUGUUUCCUUGCACGUUGAAAAAAACAAGUAACAAAGUUACUACAUAAUCAUUUAGCAUCAACAAUGUACGCUCUAAUUUCUGAUCUGUCUUCCUCCCGACUUUUUACUUUUCUAAUGAUAGUUAACGCAUUUUCCUCGACUUUAACUCGUAGGAAUCCAGAUUCUGCCCCAAAUUGAAUCGCUUGUACGCACGCGAGAGCUUCUGCUGCAAAUGUUGUUGGUAUGUGUUCAUUUCUGUAAAUUUUUGUUUUUAAGGCUUAACCUAAAGAGUUUCUUAUAACAAUCCCUAUACACGAUCUAUUGUUCUGUUUUUCAAAUGCAACAUCAAAAUUGAUUUUGACAUUCAUCUCAUUUGGUGGCCUCCAAUUCUCAUUAGCAAUUAUGUUGACAGGUAUCAUUCUAUAUACCCAUUCAAUUUCUUGUAUAUAGUCUAAAAUGAAUUGGGCAACUCUCGCUUCUGUUUGUGCCUUAUUCUUAUGUAUUAGCAAAUUUCUUGCUGACCAUAAGCCCAAUACAGUACAUAUAAUGCUUUUAAUCUGUCUGUUUCAUUUUUUUGAAUAAAUAACUGAUCUAGUCCUUAAAUUGUGCCUGAUUUUGUUCCAGGGGCCAUCCAAUUCCUAGCAUUUCCCAUAUUCCUGCUGCAAAAUAGCAGUCUUGAAAGACAUGCUCCCUGGUUUUUUCAUUAUUUCUGCAUCUUAGGCAAGUCGCAGAAUAUCAUAUCUUGCGUUGAAGCAAAUUAGAGAAAGUAGGAAGGAAAUUAUUUAAGGUCUUCCAUACUAGGAUUAUUAUUUUAGUUUGCAAGUUUUCCUUCCAUAAUUCGUUGUACAUGGGUUUGUAAGAAAUUUGAUUUUGCUGUAUGUUUGUUGAAAUUUUCGAUUGUAUUAAUUUUUUGUACCCACUGCGUACUGUAUAAACUCCCGAAGCCUCUCUUCUCCAUAUGAAUUUAUCCAAUUCUUUCUCAAGUGGGAGGGGAAUACACAAAAUUCUUAGUGUGUUGUCUUGGUGGAAGGUACGUUGAAUAAACUCUUGCUUCCAUCGGUUUGUAUCUUGCUCAAUUAGUUUAAAAACUAACACAAGAUUUUAGGUACUGCCUGGAUUUUGAAUCUUGUAGUCAACUGAGCACGGAACCCAUGCAUCAUUCCAGAUUUGUAUUUGAGUUCCCGAUCCAACUCGCCAGCCCAUCCCUUUCUCAAGAAGUCAUUUUGCCGACCAAAGGCUUCGCCAGGUAUAUAACAGUAAAUUCUCUAACCUUGCAUGCAUAAAGUCUGAAUUUGGGCAAUAUUUGGCUUUUAAAGAUUUGGCUAAUAAUGAAUCCGGAUAAUAAAUCAAACGCCAACUCUGUUUAGCUAGCAUUGCCACAUUAAAUUUUGAAAGGCAUCGAAAUUUUAUUCCUCCAUCCUUUUUUAAUUCACCAAGCUUACUCCAUUCACACCAGUGUAUGCAACGUUUUUCAGAACUUUUUUGCCACUAGAAUUGACUCAUAAUAUUUUCAAAAUCUUUGCAUAAUAAUUUUGGCAGCAGAAAACAUGCCAUUGUGUAGGUUGGAAUAGCCUGUAAAACUGUUUUUAUAAAGACCUCCUUUCCUCCCAUUGACAAGAAUCUAGUGCUCCACCCUCAAACCUUACUAAUCAUCUUGUCCUUUAAAUUUUGGAAAGAUAUUUUCUUAUCCUUUCCAACCAUAUUUGGUAAUCCUAAAUAUUUUUCUGGAUUUUUGAAGCUUUGAACACCCAAUAUGUUAGCUACUUGUUCCCGAAUUUGCUUAGAGACAUUUGUACUAAAAUAUGCCAUUGACUUUUCGAAAUUAAUACAUUGCCCUGAGCAUACCUGAUACUCUCGUAAAACAUCUUUUAGAUUAUUAGUUACUCUAAUUGUUGCGUUCUCAAAAAGAAUGCAAUUAUUUGCAAACAAUAAGUAUGUAAUUGGGGACCUCUUCGGCAAACCUUUGCUCCCUUUAUAGAGCCUUCCCUAGCUGUAAGCCUCAUCAAAGAUGAUAAUCCUUCACUAAAAAUUAAAAAUAGAUAUGGGAUUAAAGGAUCACCUUGACGCAAACCCUCACUGGGCUGAACUUUUCACCCCUCACCCCAUUCAAACAAACAGAAUAUUUAGUUGUUUUUACACAUUUCAUGAUUAAAGACACAAAAGACUUUGCAAAUCCCAUUUUUUGCAUGACUUUUUUCCAAAUAAAGCCACUUCACCUUGUCACAUGCCUUACUCAUAUCCAGUUUUAAGGCUAAGCUCCUAUUAUUACCUAUUCUCUUUUGUUUUAAUGUUUGCAUUAAUUCAUAAGCCGAUAGAAUAUUAUCAGUGAUGAGUCUGCAUGGAACAAAUGCGCUUUGGGCCUUAUCAAUGCAUUUAUCAAGAAUUUGUUGGAGCCUAUUAGCAAUUGUCUUAGCGAUAAUAUUGUACAUAACUGUGCAUAGACUAAUAGGUUGGAAAUUCUUGAGAUUGGUAAGAUUUGCUACUUUCGGUAUAAGCUCAAUAUUUGUUAUAUUAAUACCAUCAAUCGGCUCUCUCUCAUUUAAAAUCUUGAGACAAAAAUCACCAACUUUUUUUCUAGUAAUAUUCCAAAAUCUUUGGAAAAUAAAGCUGAAAAGCCAUCACAUCCAGCUGCUUUUGUUGGUCCCAUACUUUGAAGUGCUGAAAAAACUUCAUCACUAGUAAAAGCUUUACUUAGCAUAUCAUCCAUAGAAUCUGAGAUGUGUGUACCUAUUCCUGAAAAAAUGUAUUCAAGAUUACCAACACCUCCGGAAGAGAAUAGAUUUUCAAAAUAUGGUUUAGUCACCUCCUCCAUUGCUCUUCUAUUAGAAACUAACUGACCAUGUUCAUUCUUCAGUUCUUCAAUUCUGUUUCCUCUUCUUCUAUGGGAAGCAAAAUUGUGAAAAAAAUUUGUAUUCCUGUCUUCUUCUUUCAACCAAUUCAGCCUAGCUUGUUGCUCCCAAUAUUUCUCUUCUUUAUCAAUUUCCAAAUUUAAAUGGAUUUUAGCUUCGAUUAAGUCAGCCAAGUUGUUAGCCGUUCUUUCUAUUCCAUCAAAGUAUUCAAUACGGCCUAAUAGGUUUUCUGUCAAGCCUCUCCUUGACUUCCUGAUUCCCAUAGCCCACCUUUGCAAUCCUUUGCCAACCAAUGUUAAUUUCUCCAUUACUCCUCCAUUAGACAGUGUCCAAAGUUUUUUUACUUCCAUCUCACGCGAAUCUUCCAUAAACCACCAUGCUUCAAAUAUGAAUUUUACCAUUCUCUUAAACAUCUCUUCAAUUUUUGUUUGUAAAAAGAAAAGACAAUGGUCCGAGCAAGAAUGAGGCAAAUGUUGCAUUUUAAAUUUAGGGAUUAAUUCUAACCAAUUUUUGUUUGCAACUCCUCUAUCCAGUCGUUUUUUUAUGUUUGUUGUUGAAAGAUUACCACGUUCCCAUGUAAACUAUUUUCCUGCAUAGCCCACGUCUUCUAGACGACAAUCAUUAAGAACUUGACAAAAUUUUUCCAUUCGGCCUUCAUCCUUUGGUAAGCCCCCUUCCUUUUCAAAAGCAUAUAAAAUCUCAUUGAAGUCGCCACAAACUAACCAAUUUGACUCAUGUUCUCUCCCUAAUCUCCUUAGAAUAUCCCAACCCUCGCUUCUUCCACAAGCCUCCGAUGCAUCAUAGAAGUCGAUCAAUCUCCAAUUUACCCUAAUUUCAUUGUCCUCAAUAUUGACAUCAAUAUGAUGUUUGGAAAGAUUCUUAAAUUGAUUGUUACAUCACUUUUCCAACCAAGACUUAACCCUCAUCUCAUUUCCACUAUCGGAACAUCAAUACUAUAAGUAAAUCCACACCAUUGUCGAACACUUUCCAUUCGGGAAUUAUUUAACUGUCUCCAUAAAGAAGACAAUUUGAGGAUUAUAUGUUUUCAGCAUAUGUUGAAGUCUUUUAACGCCAUGUGGACUCCCUAAUCCAUAGACUUUCCAACUUAAAAUUUUCAUUGUGUCCAGUCGGCUUGCCUAUUGGUAGCCGCCAAUUUCUGAUUUUUAUAAUGGGUUUCUCUUCGUUCCCCUUGACCAUCCACAACUAUAUGACUUCCUGACCUAAGCCUCUUUUUUCUUUCCUCGUUCUCUAAUGGAAUCUCUUACAUAUCCUCUAUCAUAUCUUCCGUCUGUCCAUCACUUUUACCUUUAGCACUAAAACCCAGUUCUUGACUCAAAUUAAUAAUUUUACAAUCAUCUUUCUUACCAAUCCCCCUCCCAAAAUUAUUUCCUAUAUUAUCUUCCCGUAACCAGGCGCUUCGAGUAAUACUCGUCCUCCUAGGUUGAGCCCUAAGUGUAGUAUCCCAUCUAAAUUCCACUUCUCUUAAUCUUAUGUCAAUCCUUUUUUGACAAAAUUUGUCUACAUGUCCCAAACAUCCACAAAGAAAGCAAAACAAAGACAAUUUUUCAUAACGAAAUUUUACUAAAACCAGAUCUGAAUGAGGGAUCAAAAUCUUCUUUUUCCUCGAGUGGAUUUCUAAUAUCAAUCUGAACUCUAAUUCGCAUAUAGUUUCUAAAGCCUUGAUUAAGCUGUUCGGUGUCAUGUUUCAAAAAUUUGCCAAUAAAAUUUCCCAAUAAUUUUGCCACAUUAUCAGUAAAAAAAACCCGGUGGAAGAUUAUGAAUUUGUACCCAAAAAUCAGAAAAAACUAAUGGAACAGAACUCGGAUCCUCACCAUUUUUUAAUUUAUAAAGGAUAAAGAAAUGAUUAUUAAAAGUCCAAGGUGUUCCACUUAUUACCUGUUCCAAAUCAACCUCAUAGAAAAAUCUGAAUAAAUACAUUUUUUCUCCAAGUUCAGAGAUUUGAAUUCCCCCAACGGGUGCCAUAAAUUAGCCAUCUUAUUUUUCAUGGCCAAAAAAUUAACCUCAUUUGCUGUGAGGGCACAUCCAGCUAAGCAUAAAUCAUAUAUUGAUUGUUGAGGUCCUUCCUCUGCUGCAAAUUGAAGCCCUUCGUCUUCGUCGUCUUCUUCAUCCAGACUCAAAUUUGCCAAAUCAAUAUCCACUAAUGCCAUCUUCAAUCCUGUGCACUAUUUUCCAAUGAAAAAAAAAAAAGAGAACUUGAAAUUUAUUGUCGACAGAAAUUGCUAAUCACCUAAUCGAAAUCACAUUCAAAACCCUAGACUUUGCUAGCCAAGACCGUGCCACUCAUCGGACAGACUUAAAAAAACAAACAAACAAAUCUUUAAAGCUAAAAAAUAAAAAGUUUAACUCUUUAAAAAUAAAAAAUGAAUUAAAAUAUAUUUUAACUUUUAUAAUUUUACAGAAAAUGAUACUAAUUAUUUCAACAUAGAUGGUACGGACAGUUUGAAUCGACAUAUUAAAUUUGAUGAGGUAUUUUUUAGGCAGAGUACAAACCAGUCAGUUUUCUAUACUUCAUGCUUCCAACCACUGGGGACCACACAGAUUCCUCCGCAACCAAUACAUCAUUCGCAUUAAUCCAGUCCAAGAUGUUAUUUUACAUGAGAAAAACACUUACCAAUUCCUCUAUAGAUUAUUACCUUCAAAAUCAACACUCCUAGCUCAAUCAUAAACUUGGGAGUUUGAACAUUUUGAUAUCUUAUGCACAAGUCUGAAUUUAUGAGCUCUUUCACAAAUUUAAUAAUUAUUUAAAAUAUUACUCUUAAAUAAAUUUAGAUAAAUAGUUGUUCAAGUUCAUUUGAACUUAGACAGUCAUGUAUCUUUGUUCAUUGUAGAUAUUGUUUUUAAUAAUAUUUAAUAAUUUUUUAUUGUUUUAAAAUAAUUUUUUAUGUCCAAAUUUAUUUUGGGCUUGAGUUUUUAAAUAAUUAUUUUAUUUAGUAAUUUUUAAAAUAUUUGUCGAUGUGGCAAAUAUAGUACACCAUAUGUCAUUGUCGGGUUGUUUUGUCAAUCAUAUAUUACUUAAUCACAAAAAUAGGUAGAAUUUUUAACUGAAUCACCAAUUUUC
This 6340-nucleotide long non-coding RNA is filed under the name Gossypium barbadense (sea-island cotton). RNAcentral's name for it is "long non-coding RNA (GBAR_LNC006250)". The record is from RNAcentral. Lineage: Eukaryota; Viridiplantae; Streptophyta; Magnoliopsida; Malvales; Malvaceae.